Ornithorhynchus anatinus (platypus) is the source of this 1771-nucleotide long non-coding RNA. RefSeq lists it as uncharacterized. Lineage: Eukaryota; Metazoa; Chordata; Mammalia; Monotremata; Ornithorhynchidae. The record is from RefSeq and is a predicted model, not a curated record. The transcript has 4 exons.
ACUUCCCGCUGCUUACAUGUGUGUGUAUCCUACAGCCUGUUCCACAAUGCCCAUGGGGGAAGUCUCAGGUGCCAUUAUCUGACUCUAUUCUGAACCUGUCCUGAUGAGCCCACAAAGUUUCCCUGCUGAGGGACUUUUCAAAAUAAAGAUGGAUUCCCCUCGGACAAGGAUGGUUUAGGUGUGGAAUCAUGGACUGGCAAAGGAAUGGGUCCAUUAAUCAGACAACUUUGAAGACGGAUUAAAGAUGGCUACCUGCCUGCAAUGUUCACUACAACUCUACUGACCUUAUGAUCAAGAUGGAAUCUCUAAGCAUCGGUACCCUAAGAAGCAUGGUGUUAAUGUGCUGGAGGGUGGAGCCUCACUCCCUCAAUGUCAGACCAAAAGAGGGAAUCCUUUGUUCACAGUCUGCUUAAUUAUGAGCCAUUCUUUUCCAUCCCUGGGCAUGAAGAUCUGUCAACUGGCAUCUUGAUCAUAAGGCGAUCAGAAGGAAAAUCAAUGUCUAUCCAUCUUUCAAGUGGGGAAACCUGUAUUUUAUAAACCAAGGCAUUCUCUUUUAAAUGGAAUUGACUGGAGCCACGGAGAAGGAAAGAGAAAAAACACAAUCCAGGGAAGAGAAGAUAGUGGGAUAGAACUUUGGAGAAGGCAGAAGGCAUCUUGGUUACAUCAAAACAUUUCUUAUCAGUUGCUCUGAUGCAAGAAAAUAAAACAACAGAGUAGCCAGCAACUAAAUGAAAUUUCAAGGAAACAAACUGUGUACUUUACAUUAAAAGUUUACCUGAGCAGAGGGGCAGUUUCCUGGCCAGUAUGAGGAAAUUAUAGACUGCCCAUUAAUGCCAGAAGUCAGUCCCCCAUGCAAUGAUGUACUAAUGUAAUAACAGCAGAAACGCUAGGCCCGGAUGGCAGAGUGGCUCAGGGGCACAAAUGAAAAUGAGUUCAGUCUCAUCCUGUUCUCCUACAGACAUUUAUCCACAUGCAAUACAGGGCCAUAAAGUUGACAAGAUAGCUGAGCCCUCCAGGGAGAAAACCGGGUUUAGAAUCACCGGAGAGGUUAGCCAACAAGGUGAGAGGUGCAUCUGCAGAGCGAUGCAGUGAAACUUAGGAUGUGCCUGUCUCUCCUCCGGCAGGGCUCUUGGGCUCUCUAAUGAACACCCCUGAUUGACACCAUGAGAUACAUUUCAGGGGGCUCCUCUCCUGCCUAGGUCUGGGCCUUAAAAGAAAGAUUUCCAAGGCAGCCCGACAUGGAUGAAAACGGAAGUUCCAAAAUCAGUCUCCGUAGGAGAGCCGAUCGACAGCUCUAGGUGGUCUUUGCCAGACGCUUGCAGCUGUGGAGAAAGGAAGACAGAAUGAGAUGAGACAAGAGGUUACAGGGUCCCUUGGGAGUCUGGGGUUUUCCAGGCAACUUACCAUAAAGUUACUUACUGAAAACCCCACUUAAAGUCACCUGGGAGGGAGGGAGAGGACCACAACUCUAUGCCAGAUAACCCCUGUGCAAGCUGGAAGUGCAUUAGCAUAUCUGGGGAGGGAUCUUGGGGGGCUGGAGGAGUGAUGUGUUAGUGCAGGAUGAUGAUGAAUACCGAUGAACUCUCAGAAUGACUCAGCCCAUGACUAAGUCUGUGAGACUCUCCUGUCCCCUCUGUCCAAUAUUCCCCGCUCCCCGACCCCCAAUGGCUGGAAAUUUUGAUGAACAUGAAAAAUCCCUUUGUACCAAGAGGUGGUUGAAUCUCUCUCUCUCUCUCUCUCUCUCACACACACACACACACACACACACACA